GACGAACGCUGGCGGCGUGCUUAACACAUGCAAGUCGAACGGAAAGGCCCUGCUUUUGUUGGUUGCUCGAGUGGCGAACGUGUGAGUAACACGUGAGUAACCUGCCCUGUACUGGGUGAUAUCUUCAGGAAACUGCGGCUAAUACCGGCUAGGAGCUCCUGCUGCAUGGGGGGGUUUGGACAGUGACGGCGGGUGGGGAUGGACUCGCGGCUUAGCAGCUUGUUGGUGGGGUAGUGGCUUACCAGGGCUUGGACGGGUAGCCGGCCUGGGAGGGUGACCGGGCACAGUGGGACUGAGAUACGGCCCAUAGUGAAACGGGAGGCAGGAGUGGAGACCAUUGCCCGAUGGGCGGAAGGCUGAAGGAGCAACUCCGGGUGGGGGACGGCGGUCUUAGGGUUGGAAAACGCUUUGGCUUGUGACGAAGCGUGAGUGCGGGACAGUAGUAAAGAAGAACCGGUUAAUUACGU
This 467-nucleotide ribosomal RNA is filed under the name uncultured bacterium. RNAcentral's name for it is "partial 16S ribosomal RNA". It matches the Rfam family "Bacterial small subunit ribosomal RNA", at positions 28 to 506 of the family's 1533-position model. The record is from RNAcentral.